CUGGAGGUAUCAGAAGUGCGAAUGCUGACAUAAGUAACGAUAAAGCGGGUGAAAAGCCCGCUCGCCGGAAGACCAAGGGUUCCUGUCCAACGUUAAUCGGGGCAGGGUGAGUCGACCCCUAAGGCGAGGCCGAAAGGCGUAGUCGAUGGGAAACAGGUUAAUAUUCCUGUACUUGGUGUUACUGCGAAGGGGGGACGGAGAAGGCUAUGUUGGCCGGGCGACGGUUGUCCCGGUUUAAGCGUGUAGGCUGGUUUUCCAGGCAAAUCCGGAAAAUCAAGGCUGAGGCGUGAUGACGAGGCACUACGGUGCUGAAGCAACAAAUGCCCUGCUUCCAGGAAAAGCCUCUAAGCAUCAGGUAACAUCAAAUCGUACCCCAAACCGACACAGGUGGUCAGGUAGAGAAUACCAAGGCGCUUGAGAGAACUCGGGUGAAGGAACUAGGCAAAAUGGUGCCGUAACUUCGGGAGAAGGCACGCUGAUAUGUAGGUGAAGUCCCUCGCGGAUGGAGCUGAAAUCAGUCGAAGAUACCAGCUGGCUGCAACUGUUUAUUAAAAACACAGCACUGUGCAAACACGAAAGUGGACGUAUACGGUGUGACGCCUGCCCGGUGCCGGAAGGUUAAUUGAUGGGGUUAGCGCAAGCGAAGCUCUUGAUCGAAGCCCCGGUAAACGGCGGCCGUAACUAUAACGGUCCUAAGGUAGCGAAAUUCCUUGUCGGGUAAGUUCCGACCUGCACGAAUGGCGUAAUGAUGGCCAGGCUGUCUCCACCCGAGACUCAGUGAAAUUGAACUCGCUGUGAAGAUGCAGUGUACCCGCGGCAAGACGGAAAGACCCCGUGAACCUUUACUAUAGCUUGACACUGAACAUUGAGCCUUGAUGUGUAGGAUAGGUGGGAGGCUUUGAAGUGUGGACGCCAGUCUGCAUGGAGCCGACCUUGAAAUACCACCCUUUAAUGUUUGAUGUUCUAACGUUGACCCGUAAUCCGGGUUGCGGACAGUGUCUGGUGGGUAGUUUGACUGGGGCGGUCUCCUCCUAAAGAGUAACGGAGGAGCACGAAGGUUGGCUAAUCCUGGUCGGACAUCAGGAGGUUAGUGCAAUGGCAUAAGCCAGCUUGACUGCGAGCGUGACGGCGCGAGCAGGUGCGAAAGCAGGUCAUAGUGAUCCGGUGGUUCUGAAUGGAAGGGCCAUCGCUCAACGGAUAAAAGGUACUCCGGGGAUAACAGGCUGAUACCGCCCAAGAGUUCAUAUCGACGGCGGUGUUUGGCACCUCGAUGUCGGCUCAUCACAUCCUGGGGCUGAAGUAGGUCCCAAGGGUAUGGCUGUUCGCCAUUUAAAGUGGUACGCGAGCUGGGUUUAGAACGUCGUGAGACAGUUCGGUCCCUAUCUGCCGUGGGCGCUGGAGAACUGAGGGGGGCUGCUCCUAGUACGAGAGGACCGGAGUGGACGCAUCACUGGUGUUCGGGUUGUCAUGCCAAUGGCACUGCCCGGUAGCUAAAUGCGGAAGAGAUAAGUGCUGAAAGCAUCUAAGCACGAAACUUGCCCCGAGAUGAGUUCUCCCUGACCCUUUAAGGGUCCUGAAGGAACGUUGAAGACGACGACGUUGAUAGGCCGGGUGUGUAAGCGCAGCGAUGCGUUGAGCUAACCGGUACUAAUGAACCGUGAGG
This 1663-nucleotide ribosomal RNA is filed under the name Escherichia coli. Its description in RNAcentral is "partial 23S ribosomal RNA". It matches the Rfam family "Bacterial large subunit ribosomal RNA", at positions 1273 to 2915 of the family's 2925-position model. Lineage: Bacteria; Pseudomonadati; Pseudomonadota; Gammaproteobacteria; Enterobacterales; Enterobacteriaceae. The record is from RNAcentral.